AAUUGUAAUCUAGAGAAGUGUUUUCCGCGCUGGACCGUGUCCAAGUCCUUUGGAACAAGGCGUCAUAGAGGGUGAGAAUCCCGUCUAAGACACGGAUGCUCAAUGCUUUGUGAUACACUCUCAACGAGUCGAGUUGUUUGGGAAUGCAGCUCAAAAUGGGUGGUAAAUUCCAUCUAAAGCUAAAUACAGGCGAAAGACCGAUAGUGAACAAGUACCGUGAGGGAAAGAUGAAAAGCACUUUGGAAAGAGAGUUAAACAGUACGUGAAAUUGUUGAAAGGGAAACGCUUGAAGUCAGUCGCGUCUUCAGAAACUCAGCCUGGCUUCUGGCCUGGUGUACUUUUCUGUUGGACGGGCCAGCAUCAGUUUUGGCUGCCAGAGAAAGGUGAGAGAAAGGUGGCACCUCCGGGUGUGUUAUAGUCUCUCACCAUAUGUGGUGGCUGGGACUGAGGAAUGCAGCAUGCCUUUAUGGCCGGGGUUCGCCCACGUAACAUGCUUAGGAUGCUGGCGUAAUGGCUUUAAACGACCCGUCUUGAAACACGGACCAAGGAGUCUAACAUGCCUGCGAGUAUUUGGGUGGUAAACCCAUAUGCGGAAUGAAAGUGAAACUGUUGGGACUUCUGUCAUGGAAGGCACCGACGCCCGGACCAGAGCUUAUUGUGACGGCUCCGAGGUAGAGCAUGUAUGUUGGGACCCGAAAGAUGGUGAACUAUGCCUGAGUAGGGUGAAGCCAGAGGAAACUCUGGUGGAGGCUCGUAGCGAUUCU
Molecule: ribosomal RNA, 764 nt
Filed under: Geastrum albonigrum
Lineage: Eukaryota; Fungi; Basidiomycota; Agaricomycetes; Geastrales; Geastraceae
Description: eukaryotic LSU rRNA
Rfam family: Eukaryotic large subunit ribosomal RNA
Source: RNAcentral